CACCCCAGCAAUGGGCAAAGAGACACCUUGUUGGUGGUAUUGUUCGUGUAUCAGUCAGUGGCAGAGCAGAUGGCAGUCCUCUGUUCAUCCUACCUUGAUGCCUGGUUUGGUGGUCAAAGCUGUUUUAUGCUUAGGGCAUGUUG
Molecule: small nucleolar RNA, 143 nt
Organism: Meriones unguiculatus (Mongolian gerbil)
Lineage: Eukaryota; Metazoa; Chordata; Mammalia; Rodentia; Muridae
Product: small nucleolar RNA SNORA48
Exons: 1
Source: RefSeq, a predicted model, not a curated record